GGCUUGUCCAAGUGCAAUGGUGUUUACAAUUAGCUGAUCACAGCCAGUCACAGAUGCCUUGGCUCCUUCUCCACUCCCACUGUUUCACUUUGAUAGGAGUCAG
This 103-nucleotide non-coding RNA is filed under the name Otolemur garnettii (small-eared galago). The record is from RNAcentral. Lineage: Eukaryota; Metazoa; Chordata; Mammalia; Primates; Galagidae.